This 648-nucleotide ribosomal RNA is filed under the name Claviceps lovelessii. RNAcentral's name for it is "eukaryotic LSU rRNA". It matches the Rfam family "Eukaryotic large subunit ribosomal RNA", at positions 1 to 669 of the family's 3401-position model. Lineage: Eukaryota; Fungi; Ascomycota; Sordariomycetes; Hypocreales; Clavicipitaceae. The record is from RNAcentral.
UUGACCUCGAAUCAGGUAGGAAUACCCGCUGAACUUAAGCAUAUCAAUAAGCGGAGGAAAAGAAACCAACAGGGAUUGCCCCAGUAACGGCGAGUGAAGCGGCAACAGCUCAAAUUUGAAAUCUGGCCCCCCGGGGCCCGAGUUGUAAUUUGCAGAGGAUGCUUUUGGCGAGGCGCCUUCCGAGUUCCCUGGAACGGGACGCCAUAGAGGGUGAGAGCCCCGUCUGGUCGGACGCCGAGCCUCUGUAAAGCUCCUUCGACGAGUCGAGUAGUUUGGGAAUGCUGCUCUAAAUGGGAGGUAUAUGUCUUCUAAAGCUAAAUACCGGCCAGAGACCGAUAGCGCACAAGUAGAGUGAUCGAAAGAUGAAAAGCACUUUGAAAAGAGGGUUAAACAGUACGUGAAAUUGUUGAAAGGGAAGCGCCUGUGACCAGACUUGCGCCCGCCGGAUCACCCAGCGUUCUCGCUGGUGCACUCCGGCGGGCACAGGCCAGCAUCAGCUCGUCUCGGGGGACAAAGGCGGCGGGAACGUGGCUCCUCCGGGAGUGUUUAUAGCCCGCCGUGCAAUGCCCUGGGGCGGGCUGAGGACCGCGCGUACGCAUGGAUGCUGGCGUAAUGGUCAUCAGCGACCCGUCUUGAAACACGGACCAA